UAUUGCUUAGAUGUCUAGUCUAGUCUC
RNAcentral lists this small RNA (27 nucleotides) under Bombyx mori (domestic silkworm). RNAcentral's name for it is "ovarian small RNA-24246". The record is from RNAcentral. Lineage: Eukaryota; Metazoa; Arthropoda; Insecta; Lepidoptera; Bombycidae.